GAAGUCGGAAUCGCUAGUAAUCGCAGGUCAGAAUACUGCGGUGAAUACGUUCCCGGGCCUUGUACGCACCGCCCGUCACACCAUGGGAGUUGGAUCUACCCGAAGAUUGUGAGCUAACUUCGGAGGCAGCAAGCCACGGUAGGUUCAGCGACUGGGGUGAAGUCGGAACAAGGUAGCCGUAGGGGAACCUGCGGCUGGAUCAC
RNAcentral lists this ribosomal RNA (203 nucleotides) under Ochromonas sp. CCMP1393. RNAcentral's name for it is "partial Bacterial small subunit ribosomal RNA". It matches the Rfam family "Bacterial small subunit ribosomal RNA", at positions 1322 to 1526 of the family's 1533-position model. Lineage: Eukaryota; Chrysophyceae; Chromulinales; Chromulinaceae. The record is from RNAcentral.